UCCCAGUUAUAUAAAUUUGAUGUGGAGAACACAGUAUUUACAUAUAUAAAUCUUCUUGGGUCUCCCCGAUUGUCCACUCCUAUAGGAGCAGGAGUUUGCCGGUGCCUGAGUGGUUUUAGAGAGCAGCCCUGGCUGAACUGAGCACUCUGAUGGGUGUGGGAGGGGAGAUCAUCUCUCUCUCAGGCUCUUUUCUUCUGGAAAAGGGGGAUACGGAGGAGGAGGUAGGGGAGCUUUUUCCUUUCCUGAUCAGUCUGCCCCUUGGUUAUAGGGUGGAGGUGGAGCAGAAGAUGGCGUUUACAAAGGCUCUGCUGCAGCCUCUCGGUUUGAGUCAGGGAGGACACUUUUCUUCUUCUCCACUAAUCUUUACAGAACAACUCUUCGUGUGAUACAGUGUUCUUUUGGAUAGAAACAUUCUCCAGCUUUUCUUCCCAUGUUAUAUCAUAUUGAGAAUAACUCAUCUAGUCAUUGCCAAGAGAGUCUUCUAUUUCUGCAGAAAAGAAGAUACGGGCAGGGAAAAGAAUCUUGCUGAUAUCCCAGCAGCUCCACAUCUACCCCAUCACCGUGUGCCACAGAAGAAGCUUGGCACUUCAGAAGCAGCAGAAAUAGAAUUAUAAGGAGUUGCAAGCCAGGCUCACAGCACAAAAAAAUUAGCUAAAGACUGAAUAUCAAAAUGCAGAGCUCUAAUGGAGGAGGGGCGGCUUCAGGAAAAUAAGCCCUAGGGCUGCCUCCUAAAUCUCCCACUGUCGAGGCUGUUGAGAUGCCACUUCCUUCCAUCAGACUUUUUUUUUUUUUUGUCAGUUAGUUUAAUACAUGUCCAUAUGUCCAUUGAAUGCUUAAAUUACAAAAUUAGGUACCAUUAACCAAAUGUGUGGGAUUUUAGGAAAGCUUUCAUUCAUCAAAAGAUAACCAAGCAUAUCAACUUUGCUUUCUAAAAUGCAUUUUAAGGGUUUGUAAAACAAGGCUAAUUCUAAAAUUA
Long non-coding RNA from Choloepus didactylus (southern two-toed sloth), 976 nucleotides. RefSeq lists it as uncharacterized. The transcript has 3 exons. The record is from RefSeq and is a predicted model, not a curated record. Lineage: Eukaryota; Metazoa; Chordata; Mammalia; Pilosa; Megalonychidae.